This 212-nucleotide ribosomal RNA is filed under the name Escherichia coli. Its description in RNAcentral is "partial 16S ribosomal RNA". It matches the Rfam family "Bacterial small subunit ribosomal RNA", at positions 548 to 759 of the family's 1533-position model. Lineage: Bacteria; Pseudomonadati; Pseudomonadota; Gammaproteobacteria; Enterobacterales; Enterobacteriaceae. The record is from RNAcentral.
GAAUUACUGGGCGUAAAGCGUGCGUAGGUGGUCGUUUAAGUCCGUUGUGAAAGCCCUGGGCUCAACCUGGGAACUGCAGUGGAUACUGGGCGACUAGAGUGUGGUAGAGGGUAGCGGAAUUCCUGGUGUAGCAGUGAAAUGCGUAGAGAUCAGGAGGAACAUCCAUGGCGAAGGCAGCUACCUGGACCAACACUGACACUGAGGCACGAAAG